Molecule: ribosomal RNA, 253 nt
Filed under: uncultured bacterium
Lineage: Bacteria
Description: partial 16S ribosomal RNA
Rfam family: Bacterial small subunit ribosomal RNA
Source: RNAcentral
UACGUAGGCAGCAAGCGUUGUUCGGAAUUACUGGGCGUAAAGAGUGUGUAGGCGGUGCUCUAAGUUCGUUGUGAAAUCUCCCGGCUUAACUGGGAGGGUGCGGCGGAAACUGGAGUGCUUGAGCGCGGGAGAGGAAAGCGGAAUUCCUGGUGUAGCGGUGAAAUGCGUAGAUAUCAGGAGGAACACCUGUGGUGUAGACGGCUUUCUGGACCGUAGCUGACGCUGAGACACGAAAGCGUGGGGAGCAAACAGG